Molecule: ribosomal RNA, 1235 nt
Filed under: Acinetobacter junii
Lineage: Bacteria; Pseudomonadati; Pseudomonadota; Gammaproteobacteria; Moraxellales; Moraxellaceae
Description: bacterial SSU rRNA
Rfam family: Bacterial small subunit ribosomal RNA
Source: RNAcentral
AGCGGCGGACGGGUGAGUAAUGCUUAGGAAUCUGCCUAUUAGUGGGGGACAACAUUCCGAAAGGAAUGCUAAUACCGCAUACGUCCUACGGGAGAAAGCAGGGGAUCUUCGGACCUUGCGCUAAUAGAUGAGCCUAAGUCGGAUUAGCUAGUUGGUGGGGUAAAGGCCUACCAAGGCGACGAUCUGUAGCGGGUCUGAGAGGAUGAUCCGCCACACUGGGACUGAGACACGGCCCAGACUCCUACGGGAGGCAGCAGUGGGGAAUAUUGGACAAUGGGGGGAACCCUGAUCCAGCCAUGCCGCGUGUGUGAAGAAGGCCUUAUGGUUGUAAAGCACUUUAAGCGAGGAGGAGGCUACUGAGACUAAUACUCUUGGAUAGUGGACGUUACUCGCAGAAUAAGCACCGGCUAACUCUGUGCCAGCAGCCGCGGUAAUACAGAGGGUGCGAGCGUUAAUCGGAUUUACUGGGCGUAAAGCGUGCGUAGGCGGCUUUUUAAGUCGGAUGUGAAAUCCCCGAGCUUAACUUGGGAAUUGCAUUCGAUACUGGGAAGCUAGAGUAUGGGAGAGGAUGGUAGAAUUCCAGGUGUAGCGGUGAAAUGCGUAGAGAUCUGGAGGAAUACCGAUGGCGAAGGCAGCCAUCUGGCCUAAUACUGACGCUGAGGUACGAAAGCAUGGGGAGCAAACAGGAUUAGAUACCCUGGUAGUCCAUGCCGUAAACGAUGUCUACUAGCCGUUGGGGCCUUUGAGGCUUUAGUGGCGCAGCUAACGCGAUAAGUAGACCGCCUGGGGAGUACGGUCGCAAGACUAAAACUCAAAUGAAUUGACGGGGGCCCGCACAAGCGGUGGAGCAUGUGGUUUAUUUCGAUGCAACGCGAAGAACCUUACCUGGCCUUGACAUACUAGAAACUUUCCAGAGAUGGAUUGGUGCCUUCGGGAAUCUAGAUACAGGUGCUGCAUGGCUGUCGUCAGCUCGUGUCGUGAGAUGUUGGGUUAAGUCCCGCAACGAGCGCAACCCUUUUCCUUACUUGCCAGCAUUUCGGAUGGGAACUUUAAGGAUACUGCCAGUGACAAACUGGAGGAAGGCGGGGACGACGUCAAGUCAUCAUGGCCCUUACGGCCAGGGCUACACACGUGCUACAAUGGUCGGUACAAAGGGUUGCUACACAGCGAUGUGAUGCUAAUCUCAAAAAGCCGAUCGUAGUCCGGAUUGGAGUCUGCAACUCGACUCCAUGAAG